Molecule: ribosomal RNA, 1712 nt
Filed under: human gut metagenome
Description: bacterial LSU rRNA
Rfam family: Bacterial large subunit ribosomal RNA
Source: RNAcentral
UCCAAUCGAACCCGGAGAUAGCUGGUUCUCCUCGAAAUAGCUUUAGGGCUAGCCUCAUGGAUCAUUGAUGGGGGUAGAGCACUGAAUGUGCGCGGGGGCCACAAAGCCUACCAAACGCUAUCAAACUUCGAAUACCAUACAAUGCAGACCAUGGGAGUCAGUCCGCGAGAGAUAAGUUCCGCGGGCAAAAGGGGAACACCCCAGAUCAACCGCUAAGGUCCCCAAGUUCACGUUAAGUGGAGAAGGAUGUGGAAUUGCACAGACAACCAGGAUGUUGGCUCAGAAGCAGCCACACAUUUAAAGAGUGCGUAAUAGCUCACUGGUCGAGUGAUUGUGCGCCGAAGAUGUCCGGGGCUAAACGUGACACCGAAGCGAUGGGUGCAUCUGAAGAAGAUGCGCGGUAGAGGAGCAAUGUGCAGAGGCAGAAGCCGUAUCGAGAGGCACGGUGGACACUGCACAAGAGAGAAUGCCGGUAUGAGUAGCGAGAGGCAUGCGAGAAACAUGCCCGUCGAAAGCCCAAGGUUUCCUGGGGAAGGUUCAUCCGCCCAGGGUAAGUCGGGGCCUAAGCCGAGGACGGAAGUCGUAGGCGAUGGACAGCAGGUGUAGAUUCCUGCACUACCGAUGGAAUGAAGCAGUGACACAGAAGGAUAACUCGAGCAGGGUGAUGGUCAACCCUGUGCAAGCAUCAAGGUUGGGUUGUAGUGAAGUACGCAACCCUAUAAGCUGAGAUGUGAUGCGGACCGAAAUUUCAGUAGGGAAGCGAGUGAGUUCACGCUGGCGAGAAAAGCUGCUAGUACAUCCAAAGGUACCCGUACCGGAAACCGACGCAGGUGGGCGAGGAGAGAAUCCUGAGACGAACGGGAGAACCCUUGUUAAGGAACUCGGCAAAAUGACCCCGUAACUUCGGGAUAAGGGGUGCCUGCGAGAGCAGGCCGCAGAGAAUAGUCACAAGCGACUGUUUAGCAAAAACACAGGUAUCUGCGAAAGCGAGAGCUGACGUAUAGGUGCUGACACCUGCCCGGUGCUGGAAGGUUAAGGGAACAUGUUAGAGCAAUCGAAGCAUCGAACCGAAGCCCCAGUAAACGGCGGCCGUAACUAUAACGGUCCUAAGGUAGCGAAAUUCCUUGUCGGGUAAGUUCCGACCCGCACGAAUGGUGUAACGACUUGUGAGCUGUCUCAACAGGGGGCCCGGUGAAAUUGAAGUAUGGGUGAAGAUGCCCAUUACCCGCGACUGGACGGAAAGACCCCGUAGAGCUUUACUGCAGCCUGAUAUUGAGUUUCGGUAACUGAUGCACAGGAUAGGUGGGAGUCUGAGAGACAUGGGUUUCGGCUCAUGUGGAGACGGUGUUGGGAUACCACUCUUCGGUUACUGAAAUUCUAACAUAGCUCUGUGAAACCAGAGGAUGGACAGUGUCAGGUGGACAGUUUGACUGGGGCGGUCGCCUCCGAAAGAGUAACGGAGGCGCCCAAAGGUACCCUCAGAAUGGAUGGAAACCAUUCGAAGAGCGCAAAGGCAGAAGGGUGCCUGACUGCGAGAUUGACAAAUCGAGCAGAGACGAAAGUCGGGCUUAGUGAUCCGGCGGUAUUGAGUGGAAAAGCCGUCGCUUAACGGAUAAAAGCUACCUCGGGGAUAACAGGCUGAUCUCCCCCAAGAGUCCACAUCGACGGGGAGGUUUGGCACCUCGAUGUCGGCUCAUCGCAUCCUGGGGCUG